GCCGGAGUGGUGAAACUGGUAGACGCAGGGGACUCAAAAUCCCCCGACUCUUGCAGUCAUGUCGGUUCGAUUCCGACCUCCGGCACCA
RNAcentral lists this transfer RNA (88 nucleotides) under Syntrophus sp. (in: bacteria). RNAcentral describes it as "Syntrophus sp. (in: Bacteria) tRNA-Leu". It matches the Rfam family "tRNA". Rfam says of the family: Transfer RNA (tRNA) molecules are approximately 80 nucleotides in length. Their secondary structure includes four short double-helical elements and three loops (D, anti-codon, and T loops). Lineage: Bacteria; Pseudomonadati; Thermodesulfobacteriota; Syntrophia; Syntrophales; Syntrophaceae. The record is from RNAcentral. RNAcentral also lists the same sequence under 7 other names.